GGAAUAUCAGAUUACACGACUAUG
RNAcentral lists this non-coding RNA (24 nucleotides) under Arabidopsis thaliana (thale cress). The record is from RNAcentral. Lineage: Eukaryota; Viridiplantae; Streptophyta; Magnoliopsida; Brassicales; Brassicaceae.